CUCUUUCAAGGGUUUUGGACUGAAUAGGGAGGUGGGAAAGAAGUGUGUAGUUGGAAAUGCAUACUCCUUCCAUUUCGAUGUGUUAACAAGGGUGUGAGAGCUGCUGAUUUAACACUAACCCCUCUCUCUAUCUAUCUCUCCCUUAUUCACUUGCUCCCUUCGUCCCUUCCUCCUCUCCCCCCCCCGCCUCCCUGUCCUUGCUCACUCUGAUGCUGAUGUGUGUGUGUCGCCUGGGUCUGACGUCUCUCUCUCUCUCUCUCUCUCUCUCUCUGUACAUCUCUGAGUGUGUGUGUAAACAGGAUGAUGGAAGCUCACUCUCGUCCUCAAACCAUCACAUCAUCGUAAGGAGGAAGUGAUGUCACAGUGAAUAUGUAACACACUGUGACGUUUGCGUACGUCAUGCAGCUCGAUGAAACAGACAGUGUAUUUGCUGAUCUGAACUCGGUGAUUCCUGAGACAGAGCUGCUGGAUAACAGCAUACAGAAGAGCCGAGCACCGCUACCGCUGAAGAGCAGGAGGAACCGACCAUCACGCUCGCGUCUCACUGACAGCCUGAGCUCCACCGAGGGGACGAGGGGCCCGACACCAGGUCUGCAGACACGCCCCUCCACUCAGCUCCAGUGCACUCGUUCCUCCGUGACUCCACCCUCACGCCAGAGCUCCUCCUCUCCUCCUUUGACGCUGCCCUCGCGCGCAGAUCUCCGGAGGACCCUAAAGCUCAUCGUUACCGUCAGCUCACCAACACCACAUCCCACGAUGCACUGCUGCCCCCCGUCCCGCCCUCCCCCUGCAGGUCAUGUCCCGAAACCUCCCCUGUGCACUUCCGCAGGGGCCGACGCCCUGAAAGUGAAGUGUUGGUGUCAGAUGAAGUCAGGAUGAUAAUAUAGUCCCGAGUCCGACAGUCCCACUGUGGUUUCUGGAUAAAAACCAAACGGAGGUUCCUGGAUUUGGGUUUGA
This is a long non-coding RNA of Ictalurus punctatus (channel catfish), 957 nucleotides long. The record is from Ensembl. NCBI's taxonomy places the organism in Eukaryota, Metazoa, Chordata, Actinopteri, Siluriformes, Ictaluridae.